This 596-nucleotide long non-coding RNA is filed under the name Rattus norvegicus (Norway rat). RNAcentral describes it as "long non-coding RNA NONRATT017822". The record is from RNAcentral. Lineage: Eukaryota; Metazoa; Chordata; Mammalia; Rodentia; Muridae.
CGGACGGUGAUUCUUUACCCAGUGUGGCAGAAAAUGCUCAACUUACAACUUUCCCAGCCCAAACAGCGCCAUCAUCUGGGAUUUCAUUCAGACCUGAAAGUGUGUGGCCACCUGUCCUGAAGGACUGAGAUGAACUCAUCCUGAGUCCCUCCCACAUGAAGCCAGCUUUGGUCCCAGGUCUGAAAGCAUACAGGCUUUCAGGCUUUGGUUUGCAUACUACAGGCUGUUGUUAGUGGCUGCCCAGCAGUCUCUCAGUUUGAGUUUUGAGUAACAAGGUAGGUAAGGUGGGCCAUGACAGUGGGCCUUGGUGCUGACCUGUCUACAAAGAAAUGAAGACCCAGAACUGGAAAGCUGGCUCAUCCAUUAAGAGUGCUGCUCCCCCAAGGACCCCCACUCAGUUCCAGCUUCGACCUAUAACUCUAGUUCCAAGGAUUCUGAUUUUCUUCUCUGGCCUCUAUGGGUACUGGGCACCAUGUGUUUCACAUACAUAAAUGCAAGUAAGCAUACAUAUAAAGCAAAAAAUAAAUAAAUCCCUAUAAAAUAUGCUAUUAAAAAUAAGUAGAAACUGUUAUAGUUCAAUAAAGAUUCAUCCAAGC